UGACCAGAAGCUAACUGAGCUAGCCACUGAUGCUAAUGCUGCUGCUGGAGCACCAAAGGGAGCUGCAGCUGAGCCGUCCACCUCACAGCCCCAAAAGAAAGAAGAAGAGACGAGGGAAAAGAAGGCCGGCCAGCCAGACGAGUCGAAGGCGGUAGCGGGGGGGUCAGAGGGCUCUCAGGGCAGCACUGAGGAUGAGUGUGGUGACGAGGAAAGUGAAGACUCCGAUGAGAGUGAAGGUGAUGACCUUGACGAUGAGGAAAACAUAGAGGAAGAAGAAGAGGAGGAGAGUGAACCGCUGUCUUUAAAGUGGCCCGAAACCAGACGCAAGCAGGCCACCUACCUGUUCCUGCUGCCCAUCGUGUUCCCGCUGUGGCUCACGCUGCCCGACGUCCGCAACCUGGCUUCCAGGCGGUAUUUUCCCGUCACGUUUAUCGGUUCCAUCCUGUGGAUCGGAGUUUUCUCCUACCUGAUGGUGUGGUGGGCUCAUCA
Long non-coding RNA from Notothenia coriiceps (black rockcod), 489 nucleotides. RefSeq lists it as uncharacterized. The transcript has 3 exons. Lineage: Eukaryota; Metazoa; Chordata; Actinopteri; Perciformes; Nototheniidae. The record is from RefSeq and is a predicted model, not a curated record.